GACGAACCGUGCGAACGUUAUUCGGAAUCACUGGGCUUAAAGCGCGUGUAGGCGGGUCGGGACGUCGGUCGCUGAAAUCCCCCGGCUCAACCGGGGAAGGGGCGCCGAUACGGCCGGCCUGGAGGGACGUAGGGGGGGCUGGAACUUCCGGUGGAGCGGUGAAAUGCGUUGAGAUCGGAAGGAACGCCCGUGGCGAAAGCGAGCCCCUGGACGUCUACUGACGCUGAGACGCGAAAGCCAGGGGAGCGAACGGG
This 254-nucleotide ribosomal RNA is filed under the name uncultured bacterium. RNAcentral describes it as "partial 16S ribosomal RNA". It matches the Rfam family "Bacterial small subunit ribosomal RNA", at positions 524 to 776 of the family's 1533-position model. The record is from RNAcentral.